GUGGCUGGCGAAGCGAGCGGCUGGCGCGGGCCCCUGGCGGGCGGGCGGUACAGCCCCAAGCCUGAGACCCGGACCUGAGCAUCGCAGGUUCGAGUCCCGCCCCGCCUGGGGCGAAGCCGGGGGUGGCGGCGACCUCGCCGCGUUGCACCGGCUCUCUGAGCACCUCCCCUCUGAGGACUUCCCUUGUGACAGGCCCAGGACAAGGUGGCCAGGCAGCCCCCAUGACGCCCCUGGUCUAGGCGGAGAACCGCCUGGGCGAUGAGUGAGAACCUCGACAACGAGGGCCCGAAGCCCAUGGAGAGCUGUGGCCAGGAGAGCAGCAGUACCCUGAGCUGCCCUACAGUCUCGGUGCCCCCUGCAGCCCCCUCAGCCCUGGAGGAGGUGGAGAAAGAGGGCGCUGGGGCGGCUACAGGGCCGGGGCCUCAGCCCGGGCUCUACAGCUACAUCAGGGAUGACUUGUUUACCUCUGAGAUCUUCAAACUGGAGCUGCAGAACGUGCCUCGCCACGCCAGCUUCAGCGACGUCCGGCGCUUCCUGGGCCGCUUUGGUCUGCAGCCCCACAAAACCAAACUCUUUGGGCAACCACCCUGCGCCUUUGUGACAUUCCGCAGCGCUGCAGAGAGGGACAAGGCCCUGCGCGUUUUGCAUGGUGCCCUCUGGAAAGGCCGCCCACUCAGUGUGCGCCUGGCCCGGCCCAAGGCGGACCCCAUGGCCAGGAGGAGGCGACAGGAGGGUGAGAGUGAGCCACCAGUAACACGAGUGGCCGACGUGGUGACCCCUUUAUGGACAGUGCCCUAUGCUGAGCAGCUUGAGCGGAAGCAGCUGGAGUGCGAGCAGGGAAAUCGGGAGCACCAACCGUGCCUUGCUGCCCUGGCUGCUUGAGCAGAGGCACAAGCACAACAAGGCCUGCUGCCCACUGGAGGGGGUCAGGCCAUCACCCCAGCAGGUCAGGCUAGACUUCGGUGGCCACAAACCCCUAUCCCGGGUUUUGAAAAACUUUGCUUUUGCUCACCCUUUCUGUUGAUCUCCCUGCUUUGUGUU
Molecule: small RNA, 1041 nt
Filed under: Pongo abelii (Sumatran orangutan)
Lineage: Eukaryota; Metazoa; Chordata; Mammalia; Primates; Hominidae
Description: retained intron
Source: RNAcentral